RNAcentral lists this ribosomal RNA (505 nucleotides) under uncultured Gammaproteobacteria bacterium. RNAcentral's name for it is "bacterial SSU rRNA". It matches the Rfam family "Bacterial small subunit ribosomal RNA", at positions 38 to 535 of the family's 1533-position model. Lineage: Bacteria; Pseudomonadati; Pseudomonadota; Gammaproteobacteria. The record is from RNAcentral.
GGCGGCAUGCCUAACACAUGCAAGUCGAACGGCAGCAUGGUUUGUAGCGAUACGAGCUGAUGGCGAGUGGCGGACGGGUGAGUAACGCGUAGGGAUCUGCCCUGUAGAGGGGGAUAACCCGGGGAAACCCGGGCUAAUACCGCAUAAUACUCUGAGGAGGAAAGUCUGGGCAACCAGGCGCUAUGGGAGGAACCUGCGUCCGAUUAGCCAGCUGGUGGGGUAAAGGCUCACCAGGGCGAUGAUCGGUAGCUGGUCUGAGAGGAUGGCCAGCCACACUGGGACUGAGACACGGCCCAGACUCCUACGGGAGGCAGCAGUGGGGAAUAUUGGACAAUGGGGGCAACCCUGAUCCAGCAAUGCCGCGUGUGUGAAGAAGGCCUUCGGGUUGUAAAGCACUUUGGGCGGGGAAGAANGGAUGGAGUUUAAGAGAUGCCAUUUUUGACGGUACCCGCAGAACAAGCACCGGCAAACUCUGUGCCAGCAGCCGCGGUAAUACAGANGGUGC